UUGAACAUUUUAAAUGAUCGAAUUAAGUUUGGUCACUACCGGAAAUGGUAUAUUUGAAUCAAAUGGCGCCAGGAAGUGUAGGUGGCACUUCCCGGGCACUGACACCAACCGUUUAUAUACUGUCUAUGCUGCCAGCACCGGCUAACUGUUUCAACAAGGACAUCGCCAAAACAAGAAGAAUGUGAAGAAGAAUGUUGAGCAUGUGUUGGCUGCGUGCAGGAUUCAUUCUACCGCAGCCAUGUGUUGUCUUCUUUACGAAAAAGGCAUGGAUGAAGACGCCAUCAACAAGGCCUUUGAAGAAACCAGUGUUGGGAUUUAUGUUAUUAAAGAACAUGCUUCAAGUGAUGAACCAGGGGACAUUGGUAUUGUCCUUGAAGGCAUCAAGAUGUUGCAAGAUCUUUAUAAUGUAGCAUUACCUGUUGCUACGCUGUUUGGACUAAU
Perca flavescens (yellow perch) is the source of this 441-nucleotide long non-coding RNA. RefSeq lists it as uncharacterized. NCBI's taxonomy places the organism in Eukaryota, Metazoa, Chordata, Actinopteri, Perciformes, Percidae. The record is from RefSeq and is a predicted model, not a curated record. The transcript is spliced from 2 exons.